RNAcentral lists this ribosomal RNA (383 nucleotides) under uncultured bacterium. RNAcentral's name for it is "bacterial SSU rRNA". It matches the Rfam family "Bacterial small subunit ribosomal RNA", at positions 30 to 410 of the family's 1533-position model. The record is from RNAcentral.
AUUGAACGCUGGCGGCAUGCCUUACACAUGCAAGUCGAACGGCAGCACGGGAGCAAUCCUGGUGGCGAGUGGCGAACGGGUGAGUAAUAUAUCGGAACGUGCCCAGUCGUGGGGGAUAACGUAGCGAAAGCUACGCUAAUACCGCAUACGAUCUAUGGAUGAAAGCGGGGGAUCGCAAGACCUCGCGCGAUUGGAGCGGCCGAUAUCAGAUUAGGUAGUUGGUGAGGUAAAGGCUCACCAAGCCGACGAUCUGUAGCUGGUCUGAGAGGACGACCAGCCACACUGGGACUGAGACACGGCCCAGACUCCUACGGGAGGCAGCAGUGGGGGAAUUUUUGGGACAAUGGGCGCAAGCCUGAUCCAGCAAUGCCGCGUGCAGGAUG